CUGAUGCAGCGACGCCGCGUGAGGGAUGACGGCCUUCGGGUUGUAAACCUCUUUCAGCAGGGAAGAAGCGAAAGUGACGGUACCUGCAGAAGAAGCGCCGGCUAACUACGUGCCAGCAGCCGCGGUAAUACGUAGGGCGCAAGCGUUGUCCGGAAUUAUUGGGCGUAAAGAGCUCGUAGGCGGUCUGUCACGUCGGAUGUGAAAGCCCGGGGCUUAACCCCGGGUCUGCAUUCGAUACGGGCAGACUAGAGUGUGGUAGGGGAGAUCGGAAUUCCUGGUGUAGCGGUGAAAUGCGCAGAUAUCAGGAGGAACACCGGUGGCGAAGGCGGAUCUCUGGGCCAUUACUGACGCUGAGGAGCGAAAGCGUGGGGAGCGAACAGGAUUAGAUACCCUGGUAGUCCACGCCGUAAACGGUGGGAACUAGGUGUUGGCGACAUUCCACGUCGUCGGUGCCGCAGCUAACGCAUUAAGUUCCCCGCCUGGGGAGUACGGCCGCAAGGCUAAAACUC
This 509-nucleotide ribosomal RNA is filed under the name uncultured bacterium. Its description in RNAcentral is "bacterial SSU rRNA". It matches the Rfam family "Bacterial small subunit ribosomal RNA", at positions 383 to 902 of the family's 1533-position model. The record is from RNAcentral.